RNAcentral lists this ribosomal RNA (253 nucleotides) under uncultured bacterium. RNAcentral describes it as "partial 16S ribosomal RNA". It matches the Rfam family "Bacterial small subunit ribosomal RNA", at positions 524 to 776 of the family's 1533-position model. The record is from RNAcentral.
UACGUAGGGUGCAAGCGUUGUCCGGAAUUAUUGGGCGUAAAGAGCUCGUAGGCGGUUUGUUGCGUCGGCUGUGAAAUCCCGAGGCUCAACCUCGGGUCUGCAGUCGAUACGAGCAAACUAGAGUGUUGCAGGGGAGACUGGAAUUCCUGGUGUAGCGGUGAAAUGCGCAGAUAUCAGGAGGAACACCGGUGGCGAAGGCGGCGUUCUGGACUGCAUCUGACACUGAAAGACGAAAGCCAGGGGAGCAAACGGG